UUGAGCUGCAUGCCGGGAAACUCGCACGCACAGUUCUCGGGGGCCCCUCAUCCGAAAGGUUGGGGGCCACCCUAC
This 75-nucleotide non-coding RNA is filed under the name Burkholderia sp. D7. Lineage: Bacteria; Pseudomonadati; Pseudomonadota; Betaproteobacteria; Burkholderiales; Burkholderiaceae. The record is from RNAcentral.